AGAUCAAUGAUGACACCAAAAUUUGUCCUGAAGAGAGAUGAUGACAUAAAAAUCUUCCUCAAUAGGAUUAUUCUGAGGCCC
This is a small nucleolar RNA of Loxodonta africana (African savanna elephant), 81 nucleotides long. Its record names the gene SNORD115. It matches the Rfam family "Small nucleolar RNA SNORD115". Rfam says of the family: HBII-52 is a member of the C/D class of snoRNAs, which contain the C (UGAUGA) and D (CUGA) box motifs. NCBI's taxonomy places the organism in Eukaryota, Metazoa, Chordata, Mammalia, Proboscidea, Elephantidae. The record is from Ensembl.